AACGUAGGAGACAAACGUUAUCCGGAGUUACUGGGCGUAAAGGGCGUGCAGGUGGUCAUUUAAGUUCGGCGUGAAAGCUCCUGGCUAAACCGGGAGAGGUCGUCGGAGACUGGAUGGCUAGAGGGUGAUAGAGGCGGGUGGAAUUCCGGGUGUAGUGGUGAAAUGCGUAGAGAUCCGGAGGAACACCAGUGGCGAAGGCGACCCGCUGGGUCACACCUGACACUGAGACGCGACAGCAUGGGGAGCGAACGGG
Molecule: ribosomal RNA, 253 nt
Filed under: uncultured bacterium
Lineage: Bacteria
Description: partial 16S ribosomal RNA
Rfam family: Bacterial small subunit ribosomal RNA
Source: RNAcentral